Molecule: long non-coding RNA, 702 nt
Organism: Poecilia latipinna (sailfin molly)
Lineage: Eukaryota; Metazoa; Chordata; Actinopteri; Cyprinodontiformes; Poeciliidae
Exons: 3
Source: RefSeq, a predicted model, not a curated record
GAUAAAAUAAUGGUCAGUGCAAAGUAGCCUACAAAUUCUUUGGUGGGGGGCGGUGAGGGACCUGGAUAAAGGCUGGGGGGCACUGGCCCAAAACGGUUGAGAAACACUGGUCUAAACAAAGUAAAUCCUCAUGAAGAUUUUAUCAACCUGCCUCUGAUUUCACUGCAGACCUUCUACUUCCUGGUUCUGCUGCUCUGAAAGAAAAAACUACAACUCAGGUGAGCUGUGACAUCAUCAGUUACGCAACAUCCGUCACAUUUACUUUCAGUUUGAAUGACACUGUUAAAGUGCGGCUCUGAUCAGGUUGUUGGAUCUUUAUUUGUUGUUCAGAUGUUUUUCUUCGACUCUUUUGAUCGUUUGAACAAAUUGUCAGAAUUAUAUUACUGAUGAACUGGAAUCAAACAACUUGAUAAAAGGACGAUGUUUCUAUGAUUUCUUCUCUGAAAAAUCUGCUUCAUGUUUUUAUUUCCUGUGAUCAAACUCUGGUCUCCACCAUCAACGUUGAAUCAGUGAAUGUAAAUGCUGCUCCAUCUCUCCAGCUAGUGGACUGAUAGUAGAAGUGCAGGUUGAACCAGUGAAUGUAAAUGUUGCUCCAUGUCUCCAUCUAGUGGACUGAUAGUAGAAGUGCAGCAGCUGAUGCAGCUUCCUCUGCCUCUCUGCUGUCUGACUGCAUUCACCUGACACUGAUAUGAAGCAGAGAAG